RNAcentral lists this long non-coding RNA (864 nucleotides) under Volvox carteri. Its description in RNAcentral is "long non-coding RNA (VCAR_LNC000693)". The record is from RNAcentral. Lineage: Eukaryota; Viridiplantae; Chlorophyta; Chlorophyceae; Chlamydomonadales; Volvocaceae.
AAGAUCCCAACCUCCCCGUUACCAACUAUACAGGCCUUCCUGGCCAGUCAGCACUGAAGCACAGCAAUGCCUUCCGCAAUCCAGGUAAUGAAUCGCUUACGUGGUGGCCACCAAUUGGGAUUAAUUGGCACGGUCUGCAGUAGUCGGCCAGCAGGCCCACAGGAACCUGUGACACAAUUAUUAUGCUCUUUCUUGCUGGAUGCCGAUAAUGCUGUCAUCAAGUUUCAACUAUGAGGCGUCGCUGCCAGCUCCAGUUAACUUCAUCCAUCAUUUUUUUCCGGAAUGUGUACCUGUCGCUAGCGUUCUCAUGUUUUACAUCGAAGCCCAGAACUGUGUGCAGGAUCCGUGACACAAUCUCUCGAUUCGGUACGCGGGUGAGCGCCGACUCCAAAUGUGUAUGGGAGGUUGUAUGCCUCGCGGCCAUCAGCUCACUCAAUCUCGGUCGCCGUUUGUUGUUUAGGGAAGGCCUCCAGACCAACAUGCCUAUAUCAACGCCAUCGCUUAACCGCAUUACUUACGAGGUUAUCUCUGACUUUUGGGCCCGUUUAACUGCUUUUGCGGCACGGGACUACUUGCCAAAACAUUGGGAUCAUGUACCUCACAAUCACCCUUUCUUAUAUGUCAACGACGCAGACAUGGUUGUUUGCCGUAUACCGAUGUACAAUGACGAAGUUUGAGGGCGCACGUCUGAGCCUCUAUUUUCUGUUUAAGCGUACUAACUGAGGCCGUGUGUCCAGUGAAGUUAGUACGGCCUGGCCGAGUUCUUUUUGAAUAAGGCCCACAGUGUUGUGCGGGAGGCGCUCCUAUGGGCGUUGCACUCGACCCGUUCGGGGUCCACUGUAACAAUCGCAUCCUCCAAAUGAC